This 563-nucleotide ribosomal RNA is filed under the name uncultured bacterium. RNAcentral's name for it is "partial 16S ribosomal RNA". It matches the Rfam family "Bacterial small subunit ribosomal RNA", at positions 355 to 912 of the family's 1533-position model. The record is from RNAcentral.
UGGGGAAUUUUGGACAAUGGGCGAAAGCCUGAUCCAGCAAUGCCGCGUGUGUGAAGAAGGCCUUCGGGUUGUAAAGCACUUUUGUCCGGAAAGAAAUCCUUGGCUCUAAUACAGUCGGGGGAUGACGGUACCGGAAGAAUAAGCACCGGCUAACUACGUGCCAGCAGCCGCGGUAAUACGUAGGGUGCAAGCGUUAAUCGGAAUUACUGGGCGUAAAGCGUGCGCAGGCGGUUUGCUAAGACCGAUGUGAAAUCCCCGGGCUCAACCUGGGAACUGCAUUGGUGACUGGCAGGCUAGAGUAUGGCAGAGGGGGGUAGAAUUCCACGUGUAGCAGUGAAAUGCGUAGAGAUGUGGAGGAAUACCGAUGGCGAAGGCAGCCCCCUGGGCAAUACUGACGCUCAUGCACGAAAGCGUGGGGAGCAAACAGGAUUAGAUACCCUGGUAGUCCACGCCCUAAACGAUGUCAACUAGUUGUUGGGGAUUCAUUUCCUUAGUAACGUAGCUAACGCGUGAAGUUGACCGCCUGGGGAGUACGGUCGCAAGAUUAAAACUCAAAUGAAUUG